RNAcentral lists this ribosomal RNA (227 nucleotides) under uncultured bacterium. Its description in RNAcentral is "partial 16S ribosomal RNA". It matches the Rfam family "Bacterial small subunit ribosomal RNA", at positions 118 to 345 of the family's 1533-position model. The record is from RNAcentral.
UGAGCAAUCUGCCCUUCACAUCGGAAUAACCAUUGGAAACGAUGGCUAAUACCGAAUAUGACUUCAGAUCGCAUGAUCUGAAGUGGAAAGCUCCGGCGGUGAAGGAUGAGCUCGCGGCCUAUCAGCUAGUUGGUGUGGGUAAUGGCCCACCAAGGCGACGACGGGUAGCCGGCCUGAGAGGGUGACCGGCCACACUGGGACUGAGACACGGCCCAGAUCCGUACGGG